GCAGGUUUUCUUAAUAAUAUUUAGCCAAUUGUAUGGGAAGUACGCACGUACAUAUGUAGAUAUAUACAUAGAUAAUUUCGAGUUUUUAAAUAGAAUGUAUAUUUUUUAAUUAGCACCCGGCUAAUGAAUAUUUAAUAGGGCUGCACGGGUGGUUAUGGCAAAAAUUGUCUUUCAGAUACUUACCUAAACUUUAGGCAUCUUUCUGUAGUGCAAUGAUAAUGGGCUAAAAAACCUGUAUUACAUACAUUCCAUGCUCUAGAGGUCGAGGUAGAGAAUCUCAUCUUUGUUCGAGAGUAGGAAUGCGCAUGCAAUUUCUUUGAUGGAGUGACAAUCUGGAAUGAGAGGUGAAAGUGGAGUUGAAAAUAAUGGAUGGUCCGAGUUGUUGCCAACCUGUUGCUAACGAACUCGGUCUGCGAAAUGGACGAGGCAGGCCGACAUUUAGCAACUCUGGUUUAGUCGUGUUAAACUUGAAAACUGAUUUAAAGAAAAUGCAUCACAGAGACAAGUUCGCAGUUUAGAAAUACAAGUUGUUUGCCCAGUUUCAAAUUGAGACGAGCUAGACAAGGUUUGAAUGAAAGAAAGCCGAACGUAAGGACAGAACUGGGUCGACACUGGAGGAAGAUCUUUGCUGGGAGAAACUCGAUAAAUUGAUAAUUUAUGCCCACGCAUCUCUAUAGGAUUUUUGCCUCUACAUAUUUUCGGACGGGAAGGACGCCGUUUUUAUCUCUCCUCGUAUUUACUCCUCAUCACUCGCAUCGGCCAACUGGACACAUUUUCUGGAUUUUUACUUGUUGCAUCUCUCAAAAUAUAAAAAUAUAUACUUCCGAAAUUCCAUUUUUUUAAAGAGUGACAUAAUUAGUAGGAUGAAGCUCAGAAAGUUUAUCCAGUUUGAUACGAACCACCACUACCCGAGCACAUUCGCAGUGCUAUUUCUCAUCAAUAUGUUCAACCAAAAUCAUAUUCGUCAACCGACUUGGAAAUACCAAACACUCUGGAUGACAUACACCAACAAGUGUCACCAGAUUUGAAAAUGGGGUACUUCAUCGUGACCACAGAGUUGGUCAUCUCAUGGAAGUUGGAUAAAAUCUGGGAUUUUAAGGAGAGCCACUUUAUCGAUAUCAUAGAGGACUGAUAGGAAAUCACGGAGAAUGGAGACGAAUGAUUAUUGUAUACAUCUCACUACAAAUAGAUAUUUGACAAGAUGGAGAAUUUUGUGCUCCAGUGUUCAUUUUAGUCAAAUUGUUCAGGCAAAUGCAACUUUUUUGUCCAACAAAAUUGAUACGGUAAUCGACGAUGAAUCAAAGAUAGACAAAUUAUUUCGAGCUAUCUAGAAUCUCUUUGUGACUGAUAUCGCAGCGGACUGAUGGGAACUGAUAAGGCGAAGGCAGUCGUGUUCGACAGGAUAUCGACAUUAAUUUACUCAUCUGAGAUGCACAUAAGUACACAUGUGUAUGUACGUAAUAGUUCAUAAUAUUACCUAAGUAUGUACGUAAUAGCGUUUUCUCUAAACAUCAGUAAUGCACUGUUAUGUUCCAUGUUUUCAUACAUCUAAUAAACGUAUAGGUAUGUAAAUACAUAUGUAUGUUUAUAUGCGUAUAGAAUACGUAAAAAUUGCACUCUUACAUGAGUCAUUCGUAUCACUGGUAGAGAUGCGCAAGAAAUUAUUUUAGCAGUAUGACAGUCAUAAAUUGAACUCUUGAUUUUCCUUUAAUUAUGACGUAAUAUAAAGUUUUUAUGUGGCUGGAAUUGUACAAAUGUCCACAAUGUAUGCAAUGAAAAGCGCAACUCGGAAAAGAAGCAAACCGAAAAUAUAUUUUGAGUCUGUCAGAAUACUGUUUAUUUCUUAUGUAAAAAUGUCAUUUAUUUAUCGAUCUUGUGGAAUAAACAUUCCGAGGUACAAAUUUACCAAUCUCUGCAUAAUUACCCAAACAUGUACCUAACAAUUCUGAUCCGCUCAUAUUGUUCACCUGAUAAUUAGUAAAAUGACUACAUGUUUACUAAUAUCUAGAUUAUUUUUAUUGCAACUUUGUGACGUACUUAUAUUAUGCAAAUGUAUACGCAAAAAUUUAAAAAUACUAUUUACUUAUUACUUGUAUAAUUAAUCACGUGAUAAGGUUAUUUAAAGAUACUACUUUCUUAUGAAAUUUAAUAUGUUGUACAAAUGUUGUUUAUUAAAAUCCAAUUUUACGAAGGAAAGCAUGUUUUCAGAACCCCGUGUUAAAAUAAGCGUCAAGUUUUAUACCUACUUAUGAGCUCCGAUGAAAUGAAUCUUAAUUAUUUACUCAAGAUCUUUUAGCAAUAUAUAAAUGCAUUUGAAAUUA
Molecule: long non-coding RNA, 2321 nt
Organism: Folsomia candida
Lineage: Eukaryota; Metazoa; Arthropoda; Collembola; Entomobryomorpha; Isotomidae
Exons: 4
Source: RefSeq, a predicted model, not a curated record